This 1044-nucleotide ribosomal RNA is filed under the name Arthrobacter sp. 749H83. RNAcentral's name for it is "bacterial SSU rRNA". It matches the Rfam family "Bacterial small subunit ribosomal RNA", at positions 56 to 1110 of the family's 1533-position model. Lineage: Bacteria; Bacillati; Actinomycetota; Actinomycetes; Micrococcales; Micrococcaceae. The record is from RNAcentral.
UGCAGUCGAACGAUGAUCCGGUGCUUGCACCGGGGAUUAGUGGCGAACGGGUGAGUAACACGUGAGUAACCUGCCCUUAACUCUGGGAUAAGCCUGGGAAACUGGGUCUAAUACCGGAUAUGACUCCUCAUCGCAUGGUGGGGGGUGGAAAGCUUUAUUGUGGUUUUGGAUGGACUCGCGGCCUAUCAGCUUGUUGGUGAGGUAAUGGCUCACCAAGGCGACGACGGGUAGCCGGCCUGAGAGGGUGACCGGCCACACUGGGACUGAGACACGGCCCAGACUCCUACGGGAGGCAGCAGUGGGGAAUAUUGCACAAUGGGCGCAAGCCUGAUGCAGCGACGCCGCGUGAGGGAUGACGGCCUUCGGGUUGUAAACCUCUUUCAGUAGGGAAGAAGCGAAAGUGACGGUACCUGCAGAAGAAGCGCCGGCUAACUACGUGCCAGCAGCCGCGGUAAUACGUAGGGCGCAAGCGUUAUCCGGAAUUAUUGGGCGUAAAGAGCUCGUAGGCGGUUUGUCGCGUCUGCCGUGAAAGUCCGGGGCUCAACUCCGGAUCUGCGGUGGGUACGGGCAGACUAGAGUGAUGUAGGGGAGACUGGAAUUCCUGGUGUAGCGGUGAAAUGCGCAGAUAUCAGGAGGAACACCGAUGGCGAAGGCAGGUCUCUGGGCAUUAACUGACGCUGAGGAGCGAAAGCAUGGGGAGCGAACAGGAUUAGAUACCCUGGUAGUCCAUGCCGUAAACGUUGGGCACUAGGUGUGGGGGACAUUCCACGUUUUCCGCGCCGUAGCUAACGCAUUAAGUGCCCCGCCUGGGGAGUACGGCCGCAAGGCUAAAACUCAAAGGAAUUGACGGGGGCCCGCACAAGCGGCGGAGCAUGCGGAUUAAUUCGAUGCAACGCGAAGAACCUUACCAAGGCUUGACAUGGGCCGGACCGGGCUGGAAACAGUCCUUCCCCUUUGGGGCCGGUUCACAGGUGGUGCAUGGUUGUCGUCAGCUCGUGUCGUGAGAUGUUGGGUUAAGUCCCGCAACGAGCGCAACCCUCGUUC